AUUGAACGCUGGCGGCAUGCUUUACACAUGCAAGUCGAACGGUAACAGGGAGCUUGCUCCGCUGACGAGUGGCGAACGGGUGAGUAAUGCAUCGGAACGUGCCUAUUUGUGGGGGGAUAACGUAGCGAAAGUUACGCUAAUACCGCAUACGCCCUGAGGGGGAAAGCGGGGGAUUCGUAAGAACCUCGCGCGAUUAGAGCGGCCGAUGCCUGAUUAGCUUGUUGGUGGGGUAAAAGCCCACCAAGGCGACGAUCAGUAGCUGGUCUGAGAGGACGAUCAGCCACACUGGGACUGAGACACGGCCCAGACUCCUACGGGAGGCAGCAGUGGGGAAUUUUGGACAAUGGGCGAAAGCCUGAUCCAGCCAUGCCGCGUGAGUGAAGAAGGCC
RNAcentral lists this ribosomal RNA (389 nucleotides) under uncultured bacterium. RNAcentral describes it as "bacterial SSU rRNA". It matches the Rfam family "Bacterial small subunit ribosomal RNA", at positions 30 to 416 of the family's 1533-position model. The record is from RNAcentral.